UGAUUUGACCUACGCACCGCUACUGCUACUCAUGUGAAGCUGAGAUACGUAAGAUACGCAGUGAGACCUUAGUGAAUACGCCGUUACCGUGACAACAUUGAGAAAAGCAUGGUCAUGUAUGGCCAAGUGUGUGUAAUUGAAGAAUCUGAUGAUGUCCGGUGUAGCAAUUGAGGUAGAAUGCACGUUGACGAAUUCCCAGAGUGCCCUGCUAGGGUGAAGGAGUUUGAAGUAACAAGGAUCUGUGCUGUACAGCAGGUCUCCUACAGGGAGGGAAGUAGUUGAAGGAGCAAGGAUCUGUGCUGUACAGCAGGUCUCCUACAGGGAGGGAAGUAGUUGAAGGAGCAAGGAUCUGUGCUGUACAGCAGGUCUCCUACAGGGAGGGAAGUAGUUGAAGGAGCAAGGGGAGUUGUGGAAGCUAUGGCAGUGGAUGCCCCGCAGCCUGUAGAGAUUCACAAUGUCGUUC
This 463-nucleotide long non-coding RNA is filed under the name Salmo salar (Atlantic salmon). RNAcentral describes it as "lncRNA (ENSSSAG00000101799.1)". Lineage: Eukaryota; Metazoa; Chordata; Actinopteri; Salmoniformes; Salmonidae. The record is from RNAcentral.